CUCAGAUUGAACGCUGGCGGCAGGCUUAACACAUGCAAGUCGAGCGGUAACAUUUCUAGCUUGCUAGAAGAUGACGAGCGGCGGACGGGUGAGUAAUGCUUGGGAAUAUGCCUUUACGUGGGGGACAACAGUUGGAAACGACUGCUAAUACCGCAUAAUGUCUUCGGACCAAAGGAGGGGACUCUUCGGAGCCUUUCGCGUAAAGAUUAGCCCAAGUGGGAUUAGCUAGUUGGUGGGGUAAUGGCUCACCAAGGCGACGAUCCCUAGCUGGUUUGAGAGGAUGAUCAGCCACACUGGGACUGAGACACGGCCCAGACUCCUACGGGAGGCAGCAGUGGGGAAUAUUGCACAAUGGGCGAAAGCCUGAUGCAGCCAUGCCGCGUGUGUGAAGAAGGCCUUCGGGUUGUAAAGCACUUUCAGUCGUGAGGAAGGGGUAGUAAUUAAUACUUGCUAUCUUUGACGUUAGCGACAGAAGAAGGACCGGCUAACUCCGUGCCAGCAGCCGCGGUAAUAC
This 514-nucleotide ribosomal RNA is filed under the name uncultured marine bacterium. RNAcentral's name for it is "bacterial SSU rRNA". It matches the Rfam family "Bacterial small subunit ribosomal RNA", at positions 23 to 526 of the family's 1533-position model. The record is from RNAcentral.